RNAcentral lists this ribosomal RNA (387 nucleotides) under uncultured bacterium. Its description in RNAcentral is "bacterial SSU rRNA". It matches the Rfam family "Archaeal small subunit ribosomal RNA", at positions 339 to 726 of the family's 1478-position model. The record is from RNAcentral.
CCGCGAAAACUUUACAAUGCGGGAAACCGUGAUAAGGGAAUCUCGAGUGCCAGCAUAUAAUGUUGGCUGUCCAGAUGCCUAAAAAGCAUCUGUUAGCAAGGGCCGGGCAAGACCGGUGCUAGCCGCCGCGGUAACACCGGCGGCCCGAGUGGUAACCGCUUUUAUUGGGUCUAAAGGGUCUGUAGCCGGCCAAGUAAGUCCCUUGGGAAAUCUGGCAGCUUAACUGUCAGGCUGCUAGGGGAUACUGCUAGGCUUGGGACCGGGAGAGGUGAGAGGUACCUUGGGGGUAGGGGUGAAAUCUUGUGAUCCUCGGGGGACCACCAGUGGCGAAGGCGGCUCACCAGAACGGGUCCGACGGUAAGGGACGAAAGCUAGGGGCACGAACCG